AAUUCGCCCUUAGAGUUUGAUCAUGGCUCAGAUUGAACGCUGGCGGCAGGCCUAACACAUGCAAGUCGAACGGUAACAGGAAGCAGCUUGCUGCUUCGCUGACGAGUGGCGGACGGGUGAGUAAUGUCUGGGAAGCUGCCUGAUGGAGGGGGAUAACUACUGGAAACGGUAGCUAAUACCGCAUAAUGUCGCAAGACCAAAGAGGGGGACCUUCGGGCCUCUUGCCAUCGGAUGUGCCCAGAUGGGAUUAGCUUGUUGGUGGGGUAACGGCUCACCAAGGCGACGAUCCCUAGCUGGUCUGAGAGGAUGACCAGCCACACUGGAACUGAGACACGGUCCAGACUCCUACGGGAGGCAGCAGUGGGGAAUAUUGCACAAUGGGCGCAAGCCUGAUGCAGCCAUCCCGCGUGUAUGAAGAAGGCCUUCGGGUUGUA
RNAcentral lists this ribosomal RNA (434 nucleotides) under uncultured bacterium. RNAcentral's name for it is "bacterial SSU rRNA". It matches the Rfam family "Bacterial small subunit ribosomal RNA", at positions 1 to 427 of the family's 1533-position model. The record is from RNAcentral.